UUACGGUCAUAUCACGUUGAAAAACAGGUUCCCGUACGAUCAUUGAAGUUAAACAACGUCGAGCCUGGUCAGUUACUAGAUGGGCGACCGCUUGCGAAUACAAGGUGUUGUAAG
Acanthosepion pharaonis is the source of this 114-nucleotide non-coding RNA. The record is from the annotation of a GenBank genome assembly. Lineage: Eukaryota; Metazoa; Mollusca; Cephalopoda; Sepiida; Sepiidae.